UACGUAGGUGGCAAGCGUUGUCCGGAUUUACUGGGCGUAAAGAGCGCGCAGGCGGUCGUUCAAGUCGCGUGUGAAAGCCCCCGGCUCAACUGGGGGGGGUCACGCGAUACUGAUCGACUCGAAGGCAGGAGAGGGUAGUGGAAUUCCCGGUGUAGUGGUGAAAUGCGUAGAUAUCGGGAGGAACACCAGUGGCGAAGGCGACUACCUGGCCUGUUCUUGACGCUGAGGCGCGAAAGCUAGGGGAGCAAACGGGG
RNAcentral lists this ribosomal RNA (254 nucleotides) under uncultured bacterium. RNAcentral describes it as "partial 16S ribosomal RNA". It matches the Rfam family "Bacterial small subunit ribosomal RNA", at positions 524 to 777 of the family's 1533-position model. The record is from RNAcentral.